CCUGCAGAUCUAGAAGCUCACUUUGAGCCCCAGUGAGGAGAGACAGAAUCUGGUGACGCCAGGCUCUUCCUGGGAUUCUGUGCCAAGGUGACCACACUUGAUGUGACUGGGAAGGCGAGAUCCUCCCUCCAUCUGUUCUGCCAGUUCACACAGCACAGCAGCCUCCUGAGUUCCGAGGGAGCCAGUGGAAGAAAACCGCUUGCUAGGUGAAGCUGUGGUCUCCUGGAACUCACCAGAGCAGAGGCAGUCAUGCACCUCUUCCAUUCCAUUUCUAGAAUGAAUAGUUGGCACAUGCCUAUCCCCCAGAGACGGAAACUUCAGCACAGAUGUAGAAAAAGGUUUAAAUAUUGGACAGCAAAAUCAUGACCAAUGUCCAUAAUUUGCAGUUGGAUGUCUUCUCUUAAAGCAGAGAACCACUCAGCUCUGCCUCUCUAAAGAGAACAUUGCAGGCAGCAGGGUUGCAGCUUAGUCCCAUCAAGUCACAUCAACAGAGACAGUCAUCACAUGCACACAACGUAAAUGGCUGCAGCUGGUGUUUGGGUGCAAACUCAGAGCAAUCUCCUGCCCACGCCUAAAGUGGUCCAGGGGCCACUGAGCAUCAACAGACAUUGAAGGGAGCCAUGACGCGAGUGGGGUCGUCCAGCAUUACUGGAACGGCAAAGGAAGGGUCCAGAGCAGGGAAACCAGCCUCAUUCUGACACUGUCCUGAAAAGGAGGGGAGGGGCAGAGGGGGCUCCUCCUGGGGCUCUGAGGGAGGGAGGGAGCUGCUGGUGCAGGAAUGGCUGUCAGACCAGCCUGGAGGCAGCAGGCCCAGCCCACUACACCUCCUCCAGAAGUUCCAUACUCACCUGGGACAGGAGCAAGCUCAAGACAGGAACAGGAGGAGGCUGAGUUCAUGGAGACCUUAAGAACAAAGAAAGUGUCACAACUGUGAUGUCACCAGCAAGGCCCCUGGCAGAGGCUGCAGCUACACUAACUCUGCUGGAGUCUGUCCUGACCUGGCGACUUACCAUGGGCUCCAGGCUGCUCUGCUGUGUGGCCCUCUGUCUCCUGGGAUCAGGCCCCUUGUACUCCGAUGUUUCCCAGACUCCAAAAUAUCUCCUCGCACAGACAGGAAAGAAGCAGUUCCUUAAAUGUGAGCAAAAUCUUGGUCACAAUGCUAUGUACUGGUAUAAGCAGGACUCCAAGCAAUCACUGAAGAUGAUGUUUCGCUACUAUAAUAAGGAAAUGACUGUAAAUGAAACGGUUCCAAGUCGCUUCUCACCUGAAUCUCCAGACAAAGCUCAUUUAAAUCUUCAUGUCAAGUCCCUGGAGCCAGAGGACUCUGCCUUGUAUCUCUGUGCCAGCAGCCGAGACACAGCCCUGCAGAGUCACCAGCUGCCUGUGCACAAACCUGCUAGGCUGCCAGGAAGCUGUGGUGACAAUGAGUUCCCUGUGCCUGAGGCUCUGCUCUCCAUUCCUGUGGGCCCCAUGGAGUGUCAGUGUGCAGCAGCCUCCAGGGUGCCUGGUGGGCAGCUGAGUUCUCCACACACAGAGCCCUGCAGAAUCCCUCUGGUCAGCUGAGCAGGGACUCCACUAGCGUCAUUCAAAUCCACCAAAGAUGGAGGAUUGAAGAUCUUGACAUAGAGCAGCUGUUCCUUGUCCUCUUCUGCUGUGCAUAUGACCACACCUUGCCCAUUAUGUUAUCAAUAAAGACACAGUUGUUAACAAUGUUUGAGGUGCACAAGCCU
Non-coding RNA from Ictidomys tridecemlineatus (thirteen-lined ground squirrel), 1730 nucleotides. The record is from the annotation of a RefSeq genome assembly. Lineage: Eukaryota; Metazoa; Chordata; Mammalia; Rodentia; Sciuridae.